This is a long non-coding RNA of Haliotis rufescens (red abalone), 529 nucleotides long. RefSeq lists it as uncharacterized. Lineage: Eukaryota; Metazoa; Mollusca; Gastropoda; Lepetellida; Haliotidae. The record is from RefSeq and is a predicted model, not a curated record. The transcript has 2 exons.
UUCGGGAAUAUUCGUUCGAUCCAAAUAAAGUAAAACGUAUCCCACAAUGCACCAUUCGGCUUAGCAACAAAACACCGGUCUUUUCCGGUAGGUAUACAAAAUGGCGGCUGCUUUGCGAAAAGAUUGACAGGCAAACAUCGUUUUUGAUAUUUUCUUAACUGAAAAUUGUUGUAUUUUUUUAAAAUGAGGUCAAAACACGGGUCACAACACGCCUAUGGUUAGAAUAGGAGGCGAAGGGCAAGUCAGUUGAAGCAGGCACGUUCGAAAUGCGGUGUUAGAGUUACGACCCGUGUUGACAGCGCGAUCAUCCCUUGUCAGAUUCUGACAGCUUGGACGUUUUAGAUGCAUCGGAAUCAUCCGGGGACCACGCCGUUGGGGAAAACAUCCCCGUUGGAGACAAUGAAGGCUUGCGGCGGCCAUCUUGGAUGUUUCCAUGGCAACCGGUGGCAACAUCACCUGGAAAAGACUCCAUUUCAAUUGUUAAUAUGUAUACCUCAAAGUUGUAACCCAUUAAAACUAACAAAUACUU